CCUACGGGAGGCAGCAGUGAGGAAUAUUGGUCAAUGGGCGCGAGCCUGAUCCAGCCAAGUAGCGUGAAGGAUGAAUGCCCUACGGGCUGUAAACCUCUUUUAUAAAGGAAUAAAGUGAGGCACGUGUGCCUUUUUGUCUGUCCUUUAAGAAUAAGGAUCGGCUAACUCCGUGCCAGCAGCCGCGGUAAUACGGAGGAUCCGAGCGUUAUCCGGAUUUAUUGGGUUUAAAGGGAGCGUAGAUGGGUGUGUAAGUCAGUUGUGAAAGUUUGGGGCUCAACCGUAAAAUUGCAAUUGAUACUGGCAGGCUUGAGUGCAGGUGAGGUAGGCGGAAUUCGUGGUGUAGCGGUGAAAUGCUUAGAUAUCACGAAGAACUCCGAUUGCGAAGGCAGCCUACUAAACUGCCACUGACAUUGAUGCUCGAAAGUGUGGGUAUCAAACAGGAUUAGAUACCCGAGUAGUC
This 460-nucleotide ribosomal RNA is filed under the name uncultured bacterium. Its description in RNAcentral is "partial 16S ribosomal RNA". It matches the Rfam family "Bacterial small subunit ribosomal RNA", at positions 338 to 795 of the family's 1533-position model. The record is from RNAcentral.